Molecule: ribosomal RNA, 229 nt
Filed under: uncultured bacterium
Lineage: Bacteria
Description: partial 16S ribosomal RNA
Rfam family: Bacterial small subunit ribosomal RNA
Source: RNAcentral
UGCGUAGGCGGGCUUGUAAGUCAGUGGUGAAAUACUGCCGCUUAACGGUAGAACUGCCAUUGAUACUGCAAGUCUUGAAUAUGGUUGAGGUAGGCGGAAUGUGUCGUGUAGCGGUGAAAUGCAUAGAUAUGACACAGAACGCCAAUUGCGAAGGCAGCUUACUAAGCCAUUAUUGACGCUGAGGCACGAAAGCGUGGGGAGCGAACAGGAUUAGAUACCCUGGUAGUCC